CCUACGGGGGGCAGCAGUGAGGAAUAUUGGUCAAUGGGCUUACGCCUGAACCAGCCAAGUCGCGUGAGGGAAGACUGCCCUAUGGGUUGUAAACCUCUUUUGUCAGGGAGCAACGCCGGCUACGUGUAGCCGGACUGAGAGUACCUGAAGAAAACGCAUCGGCUAACUCCGUGCCAGCAGCCGCGGUAAUACGGAGGAUGCGAGCGUUAUCCGGAUUGAUUGGGUUUAAAGGGUGCGUAGGCGGAAUGCCAAGUCAGCGGUAAAAUCGCGGGGCUCAACCUCGCUCCGCCGUUGAAACUGGCGUUCUUGAGUGGGCGAGAAGUAUGCGGAAUGCGUGGUGUAGCGGUGAAAUGCAUAGAUAUCACGCAGAACUCCGAUUGCGAAGGCAGCAUACCGGCGCCCAACUGACGCUGAAGCACGAAAGCGUGGGUAUCGAACAGGAUUAGAUACCCCUGUAGUC
This 460-nucleotide ribosomal RNA is filed under the name uncultured bacterium. RNAcentral describes it as "partial 16S ribosomal RNA". It matches the Rfam family "Bacterial small subunit ribosomal RNA", at positions 338 to 795 of the family's 1533-position model. The record is from RNAcentral.